AGUGAACUUCUAGGUUCUGAGCUGACUCCUUGGAAACCCUAGACUCCAGGGACGCGCUUCUAGAACCUGCUCAGAUUGCUACUCAGUUAACAGCCUGGCCCAGGAGGAUUGCAACACCCAGCCUGGCUCCCAGGCUGGUCUCCAACUUCUGGCUGCAAGUGAUCCUCCCUCCUUGGCCUGGCAAAGUGCUGGGAUUACAGGGCCGCACACAUACAGAGCUGAACUUGUAUCGCCGUGUAGAUGAAGACAAACACCUUUAGGAGAUGGCAGAGAAACAAAAUGGGAAACCCUCAGGUCUCCAAAUGACUACACCAAGCAGAAUUGCCCCACCAGCCUGCACCAUUCAUUUCUAGACUAUGAGCAAGAAGUACACUUCCAUCUUAUUUAAACAACCAUAUUUGGGGUUUUUGUUGUUGUUAUUGUUGUUGUUAUAGGAGCUUAGCUUUUACUCUAAGAAAUACAGCUACUCAACUCACUUCAUUAGGAUCUUAACUAUAAUAUCAAAACCUCCUAAGCACAGAAUAAAAAAUACAGUAGAGCAAUAUCAUUUAUGAUCAUAGAUGCAGAGCUUCCAAAUGAAAUACUAGCAUAUUCAAGGAAAGAUAUAUAUACCAUGACCUAGUUGUGUUUAAUUUCUGGAAUUCAAAAAUGGAAUGUUUGACAUAAGAAAAUCUAUUAGGCCGGGCGCGGUGGCUCACGCCUGUAAUCCCAGCACUUUGGGAGGCCGAGGCAGGCAGAUCACGAGGUCAGGAGAUCGAGAUCAUCCUGGCUAAUACGGUGAAACCCCGUUUCUACUAAAAAAUACAAAAAAAAAAUAUUAGCUGGGAGUGGUGGCGGGCGCCUGUAGUCCCAGCUACUUGGGAGGCUGAGGCAGGAGAAUGGCGUGAACCCGGGAGGCAGAGCUUACAGUGAGCUGAGAUCGUGCCACUGCACUCCAGCCUGGGUGACAGAGCGAGACUCUGUCUCAAAAAAAAAAAAAAAAAGAAAAAAGAAAACAGUUUGGCAGUUCCUCAAAAAGUUAAACAUAGGAUGUUUGAAAAUUUAAACGUAAUAUGACCUAGCAAUUCAACCCCAGGUAUACAACCAAGAGAAUUGAAAACAGGUGUUCAAACAAAAACUUGUACAGGAUUGCUCAUAGCAGCAUUAUUUAUAAUAGCCAAAAGGAAGAAACUACUCAAAUGUCCAUCAGCUGAUGAAUGGAUAAACAAAAUAUGGUGUAUUUCUACAAUGGACUAUUAUUCAAUCAUAAAAAAUGAAAUGCUGAUAAAUGCCAAAAUUGACGAACUUUUAAAACAUGCUAAGUGGCUGGGUGGGGUGGCUCUAGUCCGUAAUCCCGGCAUGUUAAGAGGCCGAGGUGGGCGGGUCACUUGAGCCUGGGAGGUCGAGGCUGCAGAGAGCUGAGAUCGCGCUACUGCACUCUAGCCUGGGUGACAGAGCAGACCCUGUCUCAGAAAGAAAAGAAAAAACAGAAAAGAGAAAGAAGACAGGAGAGGAGAGAAGGGGAGGGGAGGGGAGGGGAAUGGAGAGGGGGAGGGGAGGGGAGGGGAAGGGGGAGGGAAGGGGAGGGGAGGGGAACAUCCUGGCCGGGUGCAGUGGCUCACGCCUGUAAUCCUAGCACUUUGGGAGGCCAAGGUGGGCGGAUUGCCUGAGCUCAGGAGUUCGAGACCAGCCUGGGCAACACGGUGAAACCCCGUCUCUACUAAAAUACAAAAAAAUUAGUUGGGCGUGGCGAUGUAUACCUGUAGUCCCAGCUACUCAGGAUGCUGAGGCAGAAGAAUUGCUUGAACCCAGGAGGUUGAGGUUGCAGUGACGCGAGAUUGCACCACUGCACUCCAGCCUGGGUGACAGAGUGAGACUCUCUCCCAAAAAAAAAAAAAGAAAAGAAAAGAAAAGAACAUGCUAAGUGAAAGAAGCCAGAGAAAAAAAGGCAACACAUUGUAUUAUUCCAUUUAAUGAAAUAUCCAGGAUAAACAAAUCCAUAGAAAUGAAGAGCAGCUGAGGGGUUGCUGGGGCUAGGGACGGGGGGGAUAUCAGGAAUGACUGCUUCAUGGGUACAGAGUUUUCAGGUGAUGAAAUCUUCUAGAAUUAGAUAAUAGUGAUGGUUGCACAACAUUAUGAAAAUACCAAAAACCACUGAACUGUACACUUUAAAAUUGUUAAAAUGGUGAAUUUUAUAUUAUGUGACAAUUUUGUAAAAGAAUUCUAUAUCCAAUGAAAAUAUUCUUCAAGAAUGAGAGGGAAAUAAAGGCGUUCUCAAGUGAAAAAUCAAGAGAAUUUGUCAUUAGUAGACUUGUUGUAAAAUAAAUACUAAAGAAAGUUCUUCAAACGGAAGAAAGAGGAUACCUGAAAGAAAUUUAGAACAUCAAGAAUGAAGACAGAGAAACAAAAAUGGUAAAAAUCUGGUUAAAUAUAAUAGACUAUUUUUAUCUUAAAUUCUUUAUAAUAUGUAUAUGUUGGGGCUCAGAAAACAACACCUCAAAAGUAUGGCGCUUUGGUAUGCUGAACACUUUGAACUAAAAUAGAAAGGACUUAGAAGCUACCUCAGAAUAAGGCCUUUCUGGCCUCAUCUGUUUCUAUCGCCUAGAGACUUCUAGAGACUUCUGGAGUCUCUAUCCCCCUAGAGACUUCCCCUAGAAUUUCCUUAUCUGACUAAGGAAACUUCUUUCCAAAAGAAAUGCAAUUGUCUUAAGAUCCCCUUCCUAGGAAUCUCAUCAAAUAAUCAGAAAAGAUUAACCACCAGAGAAGAAUGGAGACUAAAGUCAGAUGACUCUUCAUCUAGUCCUCUGAGGCAGUGCCAAGAGAUAACCUGGGAGGCUUUAUCUACCAGGUUAAGUUUCACCCCUCACCUUCCGGUAACUUGCUGGCGUCGUUUAGUUUCCUAGGAGAAUCAUUUACAAGAUAAUGUCUGAGCCUCCUGGGCCCAUUCAUUUCCCCUAAAAAUCAUUAACAACCCCUGCAUUUUCCCCAUCUCCCUCUUCCCUAUGAAGCAGAUAUAUAAGCCUCAAUCAUCUGGCCCUUUGGGUCUCAUAUUUAAUAUUGUACCCAUGUUUUUGUAUGUUAAUAAAUUUAUAUGCCUUUUUCUCCUAUUAAUCUGUGUAUUGUCAGUCAUUUUAGCA
RNAcentral lists this long non-coding RNA (3116 nucleotides) under Homo sapiens (human). RNAcentral's name for it is "HSALNT0135658". The record is from RNAcentral. Lineage: Eukaryota; Metazoa; Chordata; Mammalia; Primates; Hominidae.